AAAACUCAUGUGCAAGAUGGUAAAGAUUACAUAAAAGGAUGUCCACUAUGGCACUCUUCGCAAUUACUAGGAAAAUGAACCAAGUGUCCACUGAUGGGAGUCUGAUUAAUUAUAUUAUAUAUAUAUCUGCUACACAAUAAAAUGACACAACAAAGGAGCUUAUAGCCAUCAAAAAGACAGAAGUGGAGUUAUUGACCAGGAGCAGUAUGUUUGAGAAAUAUCUGGUGAAAUAGCCAUGAGAAAAUUUUCAAUGACAUUCACGGCUUGCCAUCUAUUUCCAUCGGACAGCACUUGUCCACACUCUUAUACUACAUUAUACUGUCUCUUCAUCCGGUAGCAAAGCCCUUCCUUGCUAAUGGUUGCAUUUUGCAUAGAACUAUUAGCAACAUGAAUGGACUGUCAGCAUGAAUGGUGUGGUGAAGAAUGUGGAAAGGAACAAAAGAAGAGAAACAGAGAUGUCAUCUGAAAUUAUCAGCAGCAAAAUCCUGAAGCAGCGAGAAAGGUUAGCUAUUGUUUUCGACAUGUAGAGCUCUGUGGUGCUAUUCAUUGUUUAGAAUGCCUCCUCAUUUCUAGACUCUGUCCUGGCUCAAGCCUUUGAUGGGCAGACAACAGCAACCAAUGGACAUCUUCCUUGUUCCCCUCUAGACAAGAGAUGAAAAACAAUCCUUCUUGAUGAUUUACAUUGAGGCCCAUCAACAUAAUACUUCCCUCUAUGCAACAAUUUUGUUUAUUCAUGGAUUUGUCCUUUUAUUCCUAAGUCAGAUAAGAUCCUUGCCCUUGAUGGUUUGAGGAAAUAGGGGCUCUUUCUCCUUUUUGCAGACUCUAGGGGACAAAGAACAUGGGGCCAUGGGACACAGGAGGAAUGGGAAGAAACAAGAAGAGAGGGAAUCUGUGUGAAAAGGAGGGGGCCAUAGUGGUAAUGGCCCAAGGCACAGAAGGGGGCAAACUGUCCUUGUUCUCUGUCCAGCAGCUACAGCCCCCCAUCGCAGUAUGAGCUUUGCUCCUCACUGCCCAUGCUCCUCAUUACUCUGACUUAGAAGCCUCUUUCAGGAUUUGAGUUGUAGUCGUUUUCAUCUGAGCCUGCAAAGGGGCAGAGUAAUUAGCCAGGUUAAUCAUACCAGAAUAGAAGAGAGAAGGGCCAUGAACAAAGUGGAUCCUGAUCACUCCAGAAGACUUUCUUUUUAACAACUAAAGAAGACCAGCCCAGUGGCACAGCGGUUAAGUUUGCACAUUCCACUUAGGCGGCCUGGGGUUCGCCAGUUUGGAUCCCCAGUGCGGACACAGCACGGCUUGUCAAGCCAUGCUGUGGCAGGUGUGCCACAUAUAAAAUAGAGGAAGAUGGGCACAGAUGUUAGCUCAGGGCCAAUCUUCCUCAGCAAAAAUGAGGAGGAUUGGCAGAUGUUGGCUCAGGACUAAUCUUCCUUAAAAAAAAAAAAAAAACUAAAGAAAUGUUUCAGAGCCACAAGACGAAACGGUGAUGCCUGAAGACUCAGUAAAAUCUGAGAUGUGAACGUUGAAUCCUGGGCUUGGGAUUCUUUGGCUCUGGACAGGAUACUCCAAGGGACACAGUACUGGGCAGUCCAAUCGAUCCCCUAAGAACAUCAUGCCCCAGGCUAAAGUUCCUGAAGACAUACCUUAAGGGUUUAUUUUUCCUUUUGCCUCAUCAAGCCCUGUGGGUUGUCUCAGCAGGCAAUGAAUGUAAGGACAGAUCUGCUUUAAGAAAACGAAAAUUAGAAAACACUCCCAACAUAAUGGAAACAGUAAAUAGCACACAUAACAGUGUAAACAACAUUAGCCUGAUUUUGUUUUUAAAUUUGUAUAUAUAUUUUCCUGAGUCUUCAAAUAUCAUCCACUAGAAUGUAAGCUCCAUGAGGACAAAGCUUUUGGUCUCUUUUGCUUGUUGCUGUAGUACCAUCACCAAGAAAAGUGUCUGCCCAUAGCAGAUACUCAAAAAAUAUUUGUUGGAUGAAUGAAUAUGCACCCACACUUAUAAAAUUGAAAAGAAAUGCCUCAAAAUAUUGAUGAAGGUUAUCUCUAGGUAGAGGGAUUGUGGAAGAAUUACACUUUUUUCUUUAUAAUAUUCUGCAUUUUCCAAUUUUUAAAACGACUAUGAGUUAUUUACAAUUGGGACAAAAUAAACAUUACUUUAAAAAGACUUUUGGAGGUGGUCAGCCCUGUGGCUGACUGGUUAAAUUUGUGUGUUCUGCUUCAGCAGCCUGUGGCUCAGAUCCUGGGUGUGGACCUAGCACCGCUCAUCAGGCCAUGCUGAGGUGGCAUCCCACAUAGCACAACCAGAAGGACCUACAACUAGAAUAUACAACCAUGUCCUGGGGGGCUUCAGGGAGAAGAAGAAGAAGAAGAAGAAGAAGAAGAAAAAGGAAGAUUGGCAACAGAUGUUAGCUCAGGAUGCCACCACAGCAUGGCUUGAUGAGUGGUGCUGGGUCUGCACCCAGGAUCUGAACCUGUGAACCCAGGGCCACUGAAGCGGAGUGAGCGAACUUAACCACUACAUCACCGGGCCAGCCUCUAGAUGACAGCUUUUCUAAGGCAUAUUGUUGUGAUGAAAAUAAUGUAGAUAUUUCCUUCUUGCUACAUGUCCUAGAGUGCUGAGAUAUGCAGGCCAAAUUAGAAGACAUUCUGCACGGAGGCUGCUUUUAAACUCAGGAUCUACUAUGUGUCGGGCACUGUGGACACAUAAGGCUGAGGGUGAUGAGCCAUUGCCCUCAAAGCAGGUCUGGGAACCUGCUAUAAAGCUUUACAGAAAUCCUUGCAAUUGUGUUGUGUUUUUGAUUUUACAUUAAUUAUCACGAUAAGGUGCAUAGAGAAUUUCUGAGGAAUCAGGGCACGUGUUAUUAUUCCCACUUUACAGGGGAGGUUGUGUUGCUGAGAAACUGAGCUGCUCUCUUAGGGUCAAGCUGUUAGAAAGUGUAGAUCCACACACACCCAGGUCUUCACAUCCACCUGGGCUGUCAGCUUCCAAAGAGCCACAAGGAGCCUCCGCCCAGGUCUCGGGAAGGAGUUCUAACUAGACGUUUGUGCUUUUCUAGCCACAUGUGUUUAUUUAAAUUUAAAUUAAUUAAAAUUAAUUGACAAACAUUCAUCUCUUAAAUUGUGCUAGCCACAUUUCAAGUGCUCAGGAGCCACAUGUAGUUAGUAGCCACUGAAUUGCACAGCAUAGAAUAGGACAUUUACAUAACCCCAGAGACUUCUACUGGAUAGCACUGUUAUACAUUCAUUUAAAUUGGUUUUUAUUAACAGCUAACAAUCAGUAUGCAUUGAACAAUUAUGAUAUGUAAACCCUCAUUUCUACCUCAUAACAACCACUAGAGGAAGGCUCUGUUAUUAUCUCUGCUUUCAGAUGAGGGAACUCGGGCCAGAGGGAUUAAGCAACUCACCCCAGAUCAUAUAUGUAGUGAGGAGGUAUAGUUGGGACGUGAACUCAGCCAGUCUCGCACGAGAGUUGGUGUACUUUGCCACUGCCCAUCAUUCUC
Molecule: long non-coding RNA, 3491 nt
Organism: Equus asinus (donkey)
Lineage: Eukaryota; Metazoa; Chordata; Mammalia; Perissodactyla; Equidae
Source: Ensembl